GAUCAGUGGCUACGAGAACGAACGCUGGCGGCGCGUCUUAAGCAUGCAAGUCGGACGGUAAGGAAGGAGCUUGCUUCUUCCCUAGAGUGGCGGACUGGUGAGGAACGCGUGGGUGACGCACCCUUCGGACGGGGAUAGCCGGUAGAAAUACCGGGUAAUACCGGAUAAGAGCGCCUCCUUAGAGGGAGGCGGAGAAAGCGGCUUCGGCCGCGCCGGAGGAACGGCCCGCGUGCUAUUAGCUAGUUGGCGGGGUAACGGCCCACCAAGGCGACGAUAGCUAUCCGGCCUGAGAGGGUGAACGGACACAUUGGGACUGAGAUACGGCCCAGACUCCUACGGGAGGCAGCAGCUAAGAAUAUUCCGCAAUGGGGGAAACCCUGACGGAGCGACGCCGCGUGGAUGAUGAAGGCCGGAAGGUUGUAAAGUCCUUUUGGGCGCAAAGAAUAAGUACGCGAGGAAAAUGCGCGUGCGGUGACGGUAGCGCCUGAAUAAGCAACGGCUAAUUACGUG
RNAcentral lists this ribosomal RNA (510 nucleotides) under uncultured bacterium. RNAcentral's name for it is "bacterial SSU rRNA". It matches the Rfam family "Bacterial small subunit ribosomal RNA", at positions 26 to 507 of the family's 1533-position model. The record is from RNAcentral.